Molecule: ribosomal RNA, 900 nt
Filed under: Halorubrum distributum
Lineage: Archaea; Methanobacteriati; Methanobacteriota; Halobacteria; Halobacteriales; Haloferacaceae
Description: partial 16S ribosomal RNA
Rfam family: Archaeal small subunit ribosomal RNA
Source: RNAcentral
GAUUUAGCCAUGCUAGUCGCACGAGUUCAGACUCGUGGCGAAUAGCUCAGUAACACGUGGCCAAACUACCCUUCGGAACACAAUACCCUCGGGAAACUGAGGCUAAUAGUGUAUACCACAUCACCACUGGAAUGAGUGAUGUGCCAAACGCUCCGGCGCCGAAGGAUGUGGCUGCGGCCGAUUAGGUAGACGGUGGGGUAACGGCCCACCGUGCCAAUAAUCGGUAUGGGUCAUGAGAGUGAGAACCCAGAGACGGAAUCUGAGACAAGAUUCCGGGCCCUACGGGGCGCAGCAGGCGCGAAACCUUUACACUGCACGACAGUGCGAUAGGGGGAUCCCAAGUGCACAGGCAUAGCGCCUGUGCUUUUCGGUACCGUAAGGUGGUACCAGAAUAAGGGCUGGGCAAGACCGGUGCCAGCCGCCGCGGUAAUACCGGCAGCCCAAGUGAUGGCCGAUCUUAUUGGGCCUAAAGCGUCCGUAGCUGGCCGCGCAAGUCCAUCGGGAAAUCCACCUGCUCAACAGGUGGGCGCCCGGUAGAAACUGCGUGGCUUGGGACCGGAAGGCGCGACGGGUACGUCCGGGGUAGGAGUGAAAUCCCGUAAUCCUGGACGGACCGCCGAUGGCGAAAGCACGUCGCGAGGACGGAUCCGACAGUGAGGGACGAAAGCCAGGGUCUCGAACCGGAUUAGAUACCCGGGUAGUCCUGGCCGUAAACAAUGUCUGCUAGGUGUGGCUCCCACUACGAGUGGGUGCUGUGCCGUAGGGAAGCCGCUAAGCAGACCGCCUGGGAAGUACGUCCGCAAGGAUGAAACUUAAAGGAAUUGGCGGGGGAGCACUACAACCGGAGGAGCCUGCGGUUUAAUUGGACUCAACGCCGGACAUCUCACCAGCAUCGACUGU